CCUGCUCCGGCCGACUCCCCCCGACGGCCGGAGCAGGUCCAGAGGCCCUGCCGAACCUCCCCCCCGUUCGGCAGGGCCUCGCUU
Molecule: non-coding RNA, 84 nt
Organism: Streptacidiphilus jiangxiensis
Lineage: Bacteria; Bacillati; Actinomycetota; Actinomycetes; Kitasatosporales; Streptomycetaceae
Source: Rfam